UACGAAGGGGGCUAGCGUUGUUCGGAAUUACUGGGCGUAAAGGGCGCGUAGGCGGUCCUGAUCGUCGGAUGUGAAAGGCCUGGGCUCAACCUGGGAAUGGCAUCCGAUACGGCGGGACUGGAGUGUGGGAGAGGUUGGUGGAAUUCCCAGUGUAGAGGUGAAAUGCGCAGAUAUCAGGAAGAACACCCGUGGCGAAGGCGGCUCUCUGGGACGGUACUGACGCUGAGACGCGAAAGCGUGGGGAGCGAACAGG
RNAcentral lists this ribosomal RNA (253 nucleotides) under uncultured bacterium. Its description in RNAcentral is "partial 16S ribosomal RNA". It matches the Rfam family "Bacterial small subunit ribosomal RNA", at positions 524 to 776 of the family's 1533-position model. The record is from RNAcentral.